AGAGUUUGAUCCUGGCUCAGGACGAACGCUGGCGGCGGGCUUAACACAUGCAAGUCGAACGAGGUUCACCGAGUAGCAAUACGAGGGAAGACCUAGUGGCGAACGGGUGAGUAUCACGUGAGAAACCAACCCCGGUCUCUGGGAUAACAGUUGGAAACGACUGCUAAUACUGGAUGUCGUCGUACCCUCGCAUGGGGGGAUGACGAAAGGGUUACCGGAUCGGGACGGUCUCGCGGCCUAUCAGCUUGUUGGGGAGGUAACGGCUCACCAAGGCUUCGACGGGUAGCUGGUCUGAGAGGAUGAUCAGCCACACUGGGACUGAGACACGGCCCAGACUCCUACGGGAGGCAGCAGUGGGGAAUCUUGCGCAAUGGGCGAAAGCCUGACGCAGCCACGCCGCGUGCGGGAUGAAGGCCCUAGGGUUGUAAACCGCUUUUAACAGGAACGAAAAUGACGGUACCUGUAGAAUAAGGUGCGGCCAACUACGUGCCAGCAGCCGCGGUGACACGUAGGCACCAAGCGUUGUCCGGAUUUAUUGGGCGUAAAGAGCUCGUAGGCGGUUCAGUAAGUCGGGUGUGAAAACUCUGGGCUUAACCCAGAGACGCCACUCGAUACUAUUGUGACUAGAGUUCGGUAGGGGAGCGGGGAAUUCCUAGUGUAGCGGUGAAAUGCGCAGAUAUUAGGAGGAACACCGGUGGCGAAGGCGCCGCUCUGGGCCGAUACUGACGCUG
RNAcentral lists this ribosomal RNA (731 nucleotides) under uncultured bacterium. Its description in RNAcentral is "bacterial SSU rRNA". It matches the Rfam family "Bacterial small subunit ribosomal RNA", at positions 8 to 748 of the family's 1533-position model. The record is from RNAcentral.